GGAAAAGACAACAAAUCUCAAAAGGGUGGUGGUGGUGGGAAUAAGGAACAACCUAAGGGAGGUGGGGGUGCACAACAGUUUCUUCAGAUGAUGCAAAACCUCAAAGGCUCAAAAGAUAAUUUUAAGAUGCCUAAUAUGCCUAAUGCAAAGGACCAAAAAUCUGUGAAGUUUAAUUUGCCGGAGGAUGAUUUUGAUGAUGAGUUUGAUGAUGAUUUUGAUGAUGAUGAAGAUGAGUUUGACGAUUAUUCUGAUGAUGAUUUUGAUGGCCGCCCAGCGGGCAAAAUGAUGCCAGCUAUGCGGACAACUUCAAAGGUGGAAAAGACAACAAAUCUCAAAAGGGCGGCAGCGGCGGCGGGAAUAAGGAACAGCCAAAGGGGGGUGGGGGUGCACAACAGUUUCUUCAGAUGAUGCAAAACCUCAAAGGCUCAAAAGAUAAUUUCAAGAUGCCUAAUGCAAAGGACCAGAAAUCUGUGAAGUUCAAUUUGCCUGAGGAUGAUUUUGAUGAUGAGUUUGAUGAUGAUUUUGACGAUGAUGAAGAUGAGUUUGAUGAUGAUUCUGAUGAUGG
RNAcentral lists this long non-coding RNA (565 nucleotides) under Nicotiana benthamiana. Its description in RNAcentral is "long non-coding RNA (NBEN_LNC040781)". Lineage: Eukaryota; Viridiplantae; Streptophyta; Magnoliopsida; Solanales; Solanaceae. The record is from RNAcentral.